This 251-nucleotide ribosomal RNA is filed under the name uncultured bacterium. RNAcentral describes it as "partial 16S ribosomal RNA". It matches the Rfam family "Bacterial small subunit ribosomal RNA", at positions 88 to 339 of the family's 1533-position model. The record is from RNAcentral.
AGGAUUAGCGGCGAACGGGUGAGGAACACGUGAGGAAUCUGCCUUCAACACUGGGAUAACUCCGGGAAACCGGGGCUAAUACCGGAUGUCCUCGCCGAAGCUCAUGCUUUGGUGAGGAAAUGGAUUCCGCUUCGGGAUGGCCUCGCGGCCUAUCAGCUUGUUGGUGAGGUAAUGGCUCACCAAGGCGACGACGGGUAGCCGGCCUGAGAGGGCGACCGGCCACACUGGGACUGAGACACGGCCCAGACUCC